CUGAAAAUAAUACUUGACAAAUCAGAAAAUAUAUGAUAUAAUAAUAGCGUUAUGAAAGUAUUUCGGAAUAUAGAUGUGUGGGCCCUGUGCAACAGAACACUGUGAACCAUGUCAGGCGGGAAACCGAGCAGCAUUAAGCGGAACGUUUCGUGUGCCGCAGCAAGCCUGCACAUCUAUGUUCCGAAUUUUUACGCUAUUUUUCAG
This 204-nucleotide signal recognition particle RNA is filed under the name Ruminococcus sp. RNAcentral describes it as "signal recognition particle sRNA large type". It matches the Rfam family "Bacterial large signal recognition particle RNA". Rfam says of the family: The signal recognition particle (SRP) is a universally conserved ribonucleoprotein involved in the co-translational targeting of proteins to membranes. Archaeal SRP consists of a 7S RNA and homologues of the eukaryotic SRP19 and SRP54 proteins. Lineage: Bacteria; Bacillati; Bacillota; Clostridia; Eubacteriales; Oscillospiraceae. The record is from RNAcentral.